Stylophora pistillata is the source of this 530-nucleotide long non-coding RNA. NCBI's taxonomy places the organism in Eukaryota, Metazoa, Cnidaria, Anthozoa, Scleractinia, Pocilloporidae. The record is from RefSeq and is a predicted model, not a curated record.
CGAUACAUUCUGUACGAUUUCGUUCUUUGAGCGUGUGACGCCGUCACAGCCGUCACAGCCGUCACAACAGAGGGUAGACUGGGCUUGACUCAUUCAUCAGACUGUUAAGGAUACUCAAACGAUUGACUGAACUUGACUCAUUCAUCAGACUGACUUUUAAGGAUACUCAAAGGAUUCAUUUAGCCUAAGUCGAAUUUGUUUACGAAGUACUUUGAUUUCUUUGUUGCGAAUUUUUUUAGUUACGGAUGUGGUUACGUUGUGCGCGUAUAAAAGCCUCGUUUAGCGUCGCUUUAGCUAUUGUAUGAUUGUAUUUCACCUGGAUUAGGCUGGGUUGCACGAAAAAUAUAUCUGGCAUGGUAUAAAUCCACGGAUGGGAUGGCAUUUGUCCGGAGAAGAAAGGAGUGCUGUUGAAGUUUCGGAUGUGUGUUUUGUGGACAAGUCUCUUUUAAAAUGGCAAAUUUCCUUUGCGUCUCGUUUAGUGGCUUUGCAGUCGCCUUUAACGAAGUCCAUGGACUUAAUUCAGGUAAGUG